GCGUGGGCCUGUAACCCAAGCGGGGACAUUAAUGUGAUGGAACGUCGAUCUUGUCCAAGUGGCUGGAUUUGGACUGGUUAAAUUCUGGCUUGCCCUCUCCAAGUUCGGAGUCGAACCAUGGGUUCUAGGGCGAAGGCUUGGGUCUCCUGGUUCUUAGAGCAGAGGGUAAUGCGUGAGGCUGGCUUCACAGAGCAGUGACUACCUCUCGCUCCUGGCAGUGGAAGGAUAACAAGUCGGUGCUACCCGGGUCCG
This 252-nucleotide signal recognition particle RNA is filed under the name Hevea brasiliensis (rubber tree). It matches the Rfam family "Plant signal recognition particle RNA", at positions 14 to 265 of the family's 305-position model. The record is from RNAcentral. Lineage: Eukaryota; Viridiplantae; Streptophyta; Magnoliopsida; Malpighiales; Euphorbiaceae.